CAGCCGUAAACUAUGCUCGCUAGGUGUCAGGCAUGGCGCGACCGUGUCUGGUGCCGCAGGGAAGCCGUGAAGCGAGCCACCUGGGAAGUACGGCCGCAAGGCUGGAAACUUAAGGAAUUGGCGGGGGAGCACAACAACGGGUGGAGCCUGCGGUUUAAUUGGACUCAACGCCGGACAACUCACCGGGGGACGACAGCAAUAUGUAGGCCAGGCUGAAGACCUUGCCUGAAUCGCUGAGAGGAGGUGCAUGGCGUAGACGUCU
Molecule: ribosomal RNA, 262 nt
Filed under: uncultured archaeon
Lineage: Archaea
Description: partial 16S ribosomal RNA
Rfam family: Archaeal small subunit ribosomal RNA
Source: RNAcentral